This is a long non-coding RNA of Dreissena polymorpha, 399 nucleotides long. RefSeq lists it as uncharacterized. The record is from RefSeq and is a predicted model, not a curated record. The transcript is spliced from 3 exons. Lineage: Eukaryota; Metazoa; Mollusca; Bivalvia; Myida; Dreissenidae.
GGCAUUGAACAGACAGAACAUAAACUUUGGAAUAAAUGUUGUGUUGGUUUUCGUAUCGGCCGCUAUUAUUGCUUCCUCCGUAGGAGCGACAACUGCAUCGUCCAGUCAUUGUCCUCUAUGUCCAGUUCACCACGUGCCAGGGUGGACAGGUCGGCAUGUGCACCACCAACGGAACAUACCGAGACGAUUGUGAAGUUAAACGAACCCACUGCUUGGACCUAACUAUUUUGUUCCUACAUCCGGGCGACUGUAGUGAAAAUCCAUUUAUAACUGGAUAAAUCGAAUAGCAUCAAAAUGCCAACAUCUACACUAUCAAGAUAUUGUAUUUCACUUGCUACGAACAUUUACAAUUCCAUGUAAACUAGACAAGUGUGUUGUAAAUGAGUUAUCUACCAGGUA